UACGUAGGGGGCGAGCGUUGUCCGGAAUUACUGGGCGUAAAGGGCACGCAGGCGGUGAUUCAAGUCAGCUGUAAAAGGAUGCGGCUUAACCGUGUUUAGCAGUUGAAACUGGAUGACUGGAGUGCUGGAGAGGCAAGUGGAAUUCCCAGUGUAGCGGUGAAAUGCGUAGAUAUUGGGAAGAACAUCGGUGGCGAAGGCGACUUGCUGGCCAGUAACUGACGCUGAGGUGCGAAAGCCAGGGUAGCAAACGGG
RNAcentral lists this ribosomal RNA (252 nucleotides) under uncultured bacterium. Its description in RNAcentral is "partial 16S ribosomal RNA". It matches the Rfam family "Bacterial small subunit ribosomal RNA", at positions 524 to 776 of the family's 1533-position model. The record is from RNAcentral.